This 703-nucleotide ribosomal RNA is filed under the name uncultured bacterium. RNAcentral's name for it is "bacterial SSU rRNA". It matches the Rfam family "Bacterial small subunit ribosomal RNA", at positions 796 to 1504 of the family's 1533-position model. The record is from RNAcentral.
UUNNCCAAAAGUCAAUUGGNAGGUUGUGCCCUUGAGGCGUGGCUUCCGGAGCUAACGCGUUAAGUCGACCGCCUGGGGAGUACGGCCGCAAGGUUAAAACUCAAAUGAAUUGACGGGGGCCCGCACAAGCGGUGGAGCAUGUGGUUUAAUUCGAUGCAACGCGAAGAACCUUACCUACUCUUGACAUCCACGGAAUUUAGCAGAGAUGCUUUGGUGCCUUCGGGAACCGUGAGACAGGUGCUGCAUGGCUGUCGUCAGCUCGUGUUGUGAAAUGUUGGGUUAAGUCCCGCAACGAGCGCAACCCUUAUCCUUUGUUGCCAGCGGUUCGGCCGGGAACUCAAAGGAGACUGCCAGUGAUAAACUGGAGGAAGGUGGGGAUGACGUCAAGUCAUCAUGGCCCUUACGAGUAGGGCUACACACGUGCUACAAUGGCAUAUACAAAGAGAAGCGACCUCGCGAGAGCAAGCGGACCUCAUAAAGUAUGUCGUAGUCCGGAUUGGAGUCUGCAACUCGACUCCAUGAAGUCGGAAUCGCUAGUAAUCGUGGAUCAGAAUGCCACGGUGAAUACGUUCCCGGGCCUUGUACACACCGCCCGUCACACCAUGGGAGUGGGUUGCAAAAGAAGUAGGUAGCUUAACCUUCGGGAGGGCGCUUACCACUUUGUGAUUCAUGACUGGGGUGAAGUCGUAACAAGGUAACCGAC